RNAcentral lists this ribosomal RNA (467 nucleotides) under uncultured bacterium. Its description in RNAcentral is "partial 16S ribosomal RNA". It matches the Rfam family "Bacterial small subunit ribosomal RNA", at positions 28 to 507 of the family's 1533-position model. The record is from RNAcentral.
GACGAACGCUGGCGGCGUGCUUAACACAUGCAAGUCGAACGGAAAGGCCCUGCUUUUGUGGGGUGCUCGAGUGGCGAACGGGUGAGUAACACGUGAGUAACCUGCCCUUGACUUUGGGAUAACUUCAGGAAACUGGGGCUAAUACCGGAUAGGAGCUCCUGCUGCAUGGUGGGGGUUGGAAAGUUUCGGCGGUUGGGGAUGGACUCGCGGCUUAUCAGCUUGUUGGUGGGGUAGUGGCUUACCAAGGCUUUGACGGGUAGCCGGCCUGAGAGGGUGACCGGCCACAUUGGGCCUGGGAUACGGCCCAGACUCUUACGGGAGGCAGCAGUGGGAAUAUUGCACAAUGGGCGGAAGCCUGAUGCAGCAACGCCGCGUGCGGGAUGACGGCCUUCGGGUUGUAAACCGCUUUCGCCUGUGACGAAGCGUGAGUGACGGUAAUGGGUAAAGAAGCACCGGCUAACUACGUG